Molecule: long non-coding RNA, 370 nt
Organism: Microtus ochrogaster (prairie vole)
Lineage: Eukaryota; Metazoa; Chordata; Mammalia; Rodentia; Cricetidae
Exons: 3
Source: RefSeq, a predicted model, not a curated record
AAGGAGAAGAAAGUAGGUAACUUCAGAAGUAAUGUAAAAUACUACUUCAUCUGCCAUGCAUUCAUACUACAGAACUUAGCUGUGCAUCAGGGUCAGCAGGAAACCCAUAAAAUCUCUCCUCUCAUGGAAUGUGGAUAUUGACAAUUUACAACUAUACACAAUAAAGAGGUAUGGUUGUCGCUGGCAUGUCUGCAAAAGACAGUCUACAGUGUUUCUGUGCCCGACUGUGACCUCUGAGGAGGACUAGAACACCCAUGUGUUUGUGCCUCUUCAGCGUAUGAACCAGUAACUUGGAUUCAGUCCUGAGACUGAGGCUACUCACCUCAUCAUCUCCUUGAGGUUCCCCCACCCUUCUCUGGAGUGCUGAGAC